CUUUAUUGGAGAGUUUGAUCCUGGCUCAGGACGAACGCUGGCGGCAUGCCUAAUACAUGCAAGUCGAGCGGACUUGAAGAGAAGCUUGCUUCUCUGAUGGUUAGCGGCGGACGGGUGAGUAACACGUAGGCAACCUGCCCUCAAGCUUGGGACAACUACCGGAAACGGUAGCUAAUACCGAAUAGUUGUUUUCUUCUCCUGAAGAGAACUGGAAAGACGGAGCAAUCUGUCACUUGGGGAUGGGCCUGCGGCGCAUUAGCUAGUUGGUGGGGUAACGGCUCACCAAGGCGACGAUGCGUAG
RNAcentral lists this ribosomal RNA (301 nucleotides) under Paenibacillus pabuli. Its description in RNAcentral is "partial 16S ribosomal RNA". It matches the Rfam family "Bacterial small subunit ribosomal RNA", at positions 1 to 286 of the family's 1533-position model. The record is from RNAcentral. Lineage: Bacteria; Bacillati; Bacillota; Bacilli; Caryophanales; Paenibacillaceae.